CAGGGUGAAAAUGGACUGAUACAGUAGGUGACAUGUGUCCAGCCUGCUUGGUUCCCAACUUUGCUGGAUCCAUUCUAUCUGUGGACGGAGCCACUAUCUCUGAAAGGAGAGAUCUCAUCCGCUGUCCACUGGGGAAUGGCCUUGCCCUAUGGCCCCUACCAAACAAAAACGUAGCAGAACACAGCAAAACAGCAGAGUCGGAAUGUGAAGUGCUGAUAGAGUUCCCUAACGCUGACUGUCUGCUCUGCAUUUCUGGAGAUUGUAUGCCUGUCAUCCUGCAUUCCUUGCUACAGCCACAAGCUGUCUCCACCAUCAGAUGUGGCUUACCUGGUUCCUGAGUCAAUUCCAUCCAGAUGGUGAAGCCAAGGCCUGAAGACCUUUCCUGCAAGGUCGCAGAGGAAGAGGCAGAAGAAGGACCAGAACCCAGCUCCCCUGACUCCCUAUCCAGUGCUCUUCUCAUAGAUUACAUUGCUUCAGCAUCCACCUGGCUAUUGCUCCAUCCAGGGGUUACAGGAGUCACUGACUGUUUUGGUUGCUUCUUGGUUGGAGGAUGUUGUGCCUCACCGAUGAGAGCCGGAAGCAAAGGUACCAGUUCUUAGAGGAAGCAUAGGAAUGUGUCCCUUCCUGCUCGGGUCUCUCAACUGAACUCAACCCUUCCUUGAUUGAUUGACAAGCAUGUUAUCUCUCAUAAUCCCUGCCCGGUAAGGGCUGAUGUCCCCAUUUUACAGAUGAGGAUAUUGGAGCUCAGAGAAGUGAAAUGAUUGCUGAAGGUCACACAGCCUGGCUUCAAGCCUCUCGGGCUCCAAAAGGCAUCUUCUGUUCUCUCCGUCAGGAAGCCUCUUUUGGAUGAUUAACUGAGAUUAAAAAUGAAAAGACACAUGAAAGAAAGGUCCUUUUUUUCAACCUGACAAGAACUAAGAAUGCCUCUGUAUUCCAGGCACCCAGACCAGGGUGGGCUGGAAAGCCAGCCAGAGAGAAAGCAGGAGAAAGAAAGCAUGUUCUAACAGGAAGGUUAAAGCACCCUGGGAUGUGAG
Molecule: long non-coding RNA, 1034 nt
Filed under: Homo sapiens (human)
Lineage: Eukaryota; Metazoa; Chordata; Mammalia; Primates; Hominidae
Description: HSALNT0316779
Source: RNAcentral